Molecule: ribosomal RNA, 497 nt
Filed under: uncultured bacterium
Lineage: Bacteria
Description: partial 16S ribosomal RNA
Rfam family: Bacterial small subunit ribosomal RNA
Source: RNAcentral
GAUGAACGCUGGCGGCGUGCCUAAUACAUGCAAGUCGAGCGAACAGACGAGGAGCUUGCUCCUCUGACGUUAGCGGCGGACGGGUGAGUAACACGUGGAUAACCUACCUAUAAGACUGGGAUAACUUCGGGAAACCGGAGCUAAUACCGGAUAAUAUAUUGAACCGCAUGGUUCAAUAGUGAAAGACGGUUUUGCUGUCACUUAUAGAUGGAUCCGCGCCGCAUUAGCUAGUUGGUACGGUAACGGCUUACCAAGGCAACGAUGCGUAGCCGACCUGAGAGGAUGAUCAGCCACACUGGAACUGAGACACGGUCCAGACUCCUACGGGAGGCAGCAGUAGGGAAUCUUCCGCAAUGGGCGAAAGCCUGACGGAGCAACGCCGCGUGAGUGAUGAAGGUCUUCGGAUCGUAAAACUCUGUUAUUAGGGAAGAACAAAUGUGUAAGUAACUAUGCACGUCUUGACGGUACCUGAUCAGAAAGCCACGGCUAAUUACGUG